RNAcentral lists this ribosomal RNA (709 nucleotides) under uncultured Bacteroidales bacterium. RNAcentral describes it as "bacterial SSU rRNA". It matches the Rfam family "Bacterial small subunit ribosomal RNA", at positions 64 to 770 of the family's 1533-position model. Lineage: Bacteria; Pseudomonadati; Bacteroidota; Bacteroidia; Bacteroidales. The record is from RNAcentral.
AUGGUCUUAGCUUGCUAAGGCUGAUGGCGACCGGCGCACGGGUGAGUAACACGUAUCCAACCUGCCGUCUACUCUUGGCCAGCCUUCUGAAAGGAAGAUUAAUCCAGGAUGGCAUCAUGAGUUCACAUGUCCGCAUGAUUAAAGGUAUUUUCCGGUAGACGAUGGGGAUGCGUUCCAUUAGAUAGUAGGCGGGGUAACGGCCCACCUAGUCAACGAUGGAUAGGGGUUCUGAGAGGAAGGUCCCCCACAUUGGAACUGAGACACGGUCCAAACUCCUACGGGAGGCAGCAGUGAGGGAUAUUGGUCAAUGGGCGAUGGCCUGAACCAGCCAAGUAGCGUGAAGGAUGACUGCCCUAUGGGUUGUAAACUUCUUUUAUAAAGGAAUAAAGUCGGGUAUGCAUACCCGUUUGCAUGUACUUUAUGAAUAAGGAUCGGCUAACUCCGUGCCAGCAGCCGCGGUAAUACGGAGGAUCCGAGCGUUAUCCGGAUUUAUUGGGUUUAAAGGGAGCGUAGAUGGAUGUUUAAGUCAGUUGUGAAAGUUUGCGGCUCAACCGUAAAAUUGCAGUUGAUACUGGAUGUCUUGAGUGCAGUUGAGGCAGGCGGAAUUCGUGGUGUAGCGGUGAAAUGCUUAGAUAUCACGAAGAACUCCGAUUGCGAAGGCAGCCUGCUAAGCUGCAACUGACAUUGAGGCUCGAAAGUGUGGGUAUCA